UGGGGAAUCUUGCGCAAUGGGCGAAAGCCUGACGCAGCAACGCCGCGUGAGGGAUGACGGUCUUCGGAUUGUAAACCUCUUUCAAGCAGGGACGAUAAUGACGGUACCUGCAGAAGAAGCUCCGGCCAACUACGUGCCAGCAGCCGCGGUAAUACGUAGGGAGCAAGCGUUGUCCGGAAUCAUUGGGCGUAAAGAGCUCGUAGGCGGUUUGGUAAGUCGGAUGUGAAACCUCCAGGCUCAACCUGGAGCCGCCAUCCGAUACUGCCAUGACUUGAGUCCGGUAGGGGCCCACGGAACUCCUGGUGUAGCGGUGAAAUGCGCAGAUAUCAGGAAGAACACCGGUGGCGAAGGCGGUGGGCUGGGCCGGUACUGACGCUGAGGAGCGAAAAGCGUGGGGAGCGAAACA
Molecule: ribosomal RNA, 406 nt
Filed under: uncultured Acidimicrobiales bacterium
Lineage: Bacteria; Bacillati; Actinomycetota; Acidimicrobiia; Acidimicrobiales
Description: bacterial SSU rRNA
Rfam family: Bacterial small subunit ribosomal RNA
Source: RNAcentral